This 406-nucleotide ribosomal RNA is filed under the name uncultured bacterium. Its description in RNAcentral is "partial 16S ribosomal RNA". It matches the Rfam family "Bacterial small subunit ribosomal RNA", at positions 30 to 526 of the family's 1533-position model. The record is from RNAcentral.
AUUGAACGCUGGCGGCAGGCUUAACACAUGCAAGUCGAACGAGUGGCGGACGGGUGAGUAAUGUUUGGGAAUCUAGCUUAUGGAGGGGGAUAACUACUGGAAACUGUAGCUAAUACCGCGUACCAUAGGAUGAGCCCAGGUGGGAUUAGCUAGUUGGUGAGGUAAAGGCUCACCAAGCCGACGAUCUCUAGCUGGUCUGAGAGGAUGACCAGCCACACUGGAACUGAGCCACGGCCCAGACUCCUACGGGAGGCAGCAGUGGGGAAUAUUGCGCAAUGGGGGCAAGCCUGACGCAGCCAUGCCGCGUGAGUGAAGAAGGCCUUCGGGUUGUAAAGUUCUUUCGGUAGCGAGGCGUUACCUACAGAAGAAGCACCGGCUAACUCCGUGCCAGCAGCCGCGGUAAUAC